CUUAUAUACUAUCACGACGCCCAAAAAGUCGUGGCUUGGGUUUUGCCAGCUGCGUGAUCUCCUCUAUGAGUAAUCAGUGAGGUGCCAGAUCUAUGGCGUUUCCCUAAUGUAUCCGGAUGCACCCUUGUCUUGGCAGAAAGCCGUGGUGAGGUGCAGUGGCGGAAUCGUGGUUUAAUAAUCGGGUUGGUACUCAGUUGUCAGUGUGUUUGGCGAUCCCCUAGUCGGCACACUUAUGAUUUCUGGGAUAAUUCCAUACCAGGCACGUUCCGUCACUGUCACUUUGUCAUUGGUUUGAUGCUGAACUUGGUCAUGUGUCUGAUGCUAUUUUCAUAUAGCGACGGUACUCAUAUCCGCUGGCCUGUCUUC
RNAcentral lists this ribosomal RNA (366 nucleotides) under Fasciola hepatica (liver fluke). RNAcentral's name for it is "ITS2". The record is from RNAcentral. Lineage: Eukaryota; Metazoa; Platyhelminthes; Trematoda; Plagiorchiida; Fasciolidae.